Molecule: ribosomal RNA, 867 nt
Filed under: Scotopezia pseudoanthracina
Lineage: Eukaryota; Fungi; Ascomycota; Pezizomycetes; Pezizales; Pezizaceae
Description: Marcelleina pseudoanthracina partial large subunit ribosomal RNA
Rfam family: Eukaryotic large subunit ribosomal RNA
Source: RNAcentral
CAUAUCAAUAAGCGGAGGAAAAGAAACCAACAGGGAUUGCCCUAGUAACGGCGAGUGAAGCGGCAAAAGCUCAGAUUUGAAAUCUGGCGCCUUUGGGCGUCCGAGUUGUAAUCUGUAGAGGAGUGUUCGAGUGUGGCUCUGGCCCAAGUUCCUUGGAACAGGACGUCAUGGAGGGUGAGAAUCCCGUGAAUGGCCUCUGUCCUAUGCUCAUGUGAACCUCCUUCAACGAGUCGAGUUGUUUGGGAAUGCAGCUCUAAAUGGGUGGUAUAUUUCAUCUAAAGCUAAAUACUGGCAGGAGACCGAUAGCGCACAAGUAGAGUGAUCGAAAGAUGAAAAGAACUUUGGAAAGAGAGUUAAAUAGUACGUGAAAUUGUUGAAAGGGAAGCACUUGCUCCCAGACUUGCCUGCAGUCCAUCAGCCAUCAUUUUUGAUGGUGCACUUGGCUGUAGGCAGGCCAGCAUCAGUCAGGGCGGUGGGAAAAAGGUGAAGGGAAUGUGGCUCCUUUCGGGGAGUGUUAUAGCCCUGCACGCAAUGCUGCCAGCUCUGACUGAGGACCGCGCUUCGGCGAGGAUGCUGGCUUAAUGGACGUAAGUGACCCGUCUUGAAACACGGACCAAGGAGUCUAACAGCUGUGCGAGUGUUUGGGUGAAAAACCCUCACGCACAAUGAAAGUGAAUGGAGGUGGGAACCCGUAAGGGCGCACCAUCGACCGAUCCUGAUGUCUUCGGAUGGAUUUGAGUAGGAGCAUAGCUGUUGGGACCCGAAAGAUGGUGAACUAUGCCUGAAUAGGGUGAAGCCAGAGGAAACUCUGGUGGAGGCUCGCAGCGGUUCUGACGUGCAAAUCGAUCGUCAAAUUUGGGUAUAGGG